UCCCUAGUAGUUCAGAUGGUAAAGCAUCUGCCUACAAUUCGGGAGACCCAGGUUCAAACCCUGGUCGGGGAG
RNAcentral lists this transfer RNA (72 nucleotides) under Ovis aries (sheep). It matches the Rfam family "tRNA". Rfam says of the family: Transfer RNA (tRNA) molecules are approximately 80 nucleotides in length. Their secondary structure includes four short double-helical elements and three loops (D, anti-codon, and T loops). Lineage: Eukaryota; Metazoa; Chordata; Mammalia; Artiodactyla; Bovidae. The record is from Rfam by way of RNAcentral.